UACGUAGGGGGCAAGCGUUGUCCGGAUUUAUUGGGCGUAAAGAGCGUGUAGGCGGCUUUACAGGUCCGUUGUGAAAACUCGAGGCUCAACCUCGAGACGCCGGUGGAAACCGUAAAGCUAGAGUCCGGAAGAGGAGAGUGGAAUUCCUGGUGUAGCGGUGAAAUGCGUAGAUAUCAGGAGGAACACCGAUGGCGAAGGCAGGUCUCUGGGCUGACACUGACGCUCAUGCACGAAAGCGUGGGGAGCAAACAGG
This 253-nucleotide ribosomal RNA is filed under the name uncultured bacterium. RNAcentral's name for it is "partial 16S ribosomal RNA". It matches the Rfam family "Bacterial small subunit ribosomal RNA", at positions 524 to 776 of the family's 1533-position model. The record is from RNAcentral.